Physeter macrocephalus (sperm whale) is the source of this 755-nucleotide long non-coding RNA. RefSeq lists it as uncharacterized. Lineage: Eukaryota; Metazoa; Chordata; Mammalia; Artiodactyla; Physeteridae. The record is from RefSeq and is a predicted model, not a curated record. The transcript is spliced from 3 exons.
GCGCAGGAUCUGCUGGGAGUUGUAGUCCGUAUCCUGCCUUGGAGUCGGCUGCGCCGCCCUUUCUUGGUGGCUCUUUGGUUUGGGCCCCGCUGGGCUGCCAGUUGCGAGGCGGCCCCGUUCAUCUUAGGGAGAAGCCUCUUUUGCCCGGCCAACCCACGGGCCUGGGAAUGGCCUGAGCAUAAGCCUGAAGGCAUGGAGCUGGUCUUGAGGCUUACCCUUCUGCUUCACCAAAAACACCUUCUCCGAGAAGAGCCAGAGUGAUCAUUUGAAAAGAUCAUCCAGACUUGAACUGAGGGGCAUUGCUGGCUUGAAAAUGAUCCACGAACAAAAGAAACACCUCUCAAAGGUCAUCCACAAAACAAACAAAAACUGAGAAGCACUAUCAGUUGUUAUUGUUGAUGCUUUCUCCUCAGGAGUGAAUCUGGGCUCUAACUUUGGAUUUUCAAUAAGUCAUAUCCUAUCUAUAUAAAGCCUUCCAUUUUCCUCUCCUAUGUUUUGAUUCAUCUGAUCUGUAACCCUUUACAUCCAGUUAACCACUCACGUCUAUGACUUUUCCUUUUGCCAUGCUGUAAUUCUCAGACUGUCCUGAAUUGAAUUAUUAGGAAGUGCAGGCCUUGGAAAUGAGGCCACGAUAAAAGGAAAAUACUCUUUGAGUUUCCUUAUUUCCCUUAUGAAAUAAAGCAGAUUUAAGCAGUACUCUUUACUCUUUUUUUUUUCCCUCUUUUGGACUGUAACUAAACUAUAUCAUUGUUUUG